CAGUCGCCGCGGUAAUACGAAGGGGGCUAGCGUUGUUCGGAAUUACUGGGCGUAAUGCGCACGUAGGCGGAUACUUAAGUCAGGGGUGAAAUCCCGGGGCUCAACCCCGGAACUGCCUUUGAUACUGGGUAUCUCGAGUCCGGAAGAGGUGAGUGGAAUUCCGAGUGUAGAGGUGAAAUUCGUAGAUAUUCGGAGGAACACCAGUGGCGAAGGCGGCUCACUGGUCCGGUACUGACGCUGAGGUGCGAAAGCGUGGGGAGCAAACAGGAUUAGAUACCCCUGUAGUCCCUGUCUCUUAUAC
This 301-nucleotide ribosomal RNA is filed under the name uncultured bacterium. RNAcentral describes it as "partial 16S ribosomal RNA". It matches the Rfam family "Bacterial small subunit ribosomal RNA", at positions 509 to 807 of the family's 1533-position model. The record is from RNAcentral.